AGUCAUAUGCUUGUCUCAAAGAUUAAGCCAUGCAUGUCUAAGUAUAAGCGACUAUACUGUGAAACUGCGAAUGGCUCAUUAAAUCAGUUAUGGUUUAUUUGAUGGUACCCACUACUUGGAUAACCGUAGUAAUUCUAGAGCUAAUACAUGCAGGAAGACCCGACCUCGGAAGGGUUGUAUUUAUUAGAUAAGAAACCAAUCCAGCUUGCUGGUUGCGUGCCGAGUCACAAUAACUGCUCGAAUCGCAUGGCUUCACGCCGGCGAUGGUUCAUUCAAAUUUCUGCCCUAUCAGCUUUCGAUGGUAGGAUCGAGGCCUACCAUGGCGUUUACGGGUAACGGAGAAUUAGGGUUCGAUUCCGGAGAGGGAGCCUGAGAGAUGGCUACCACAUCCAAGGAAGGCAGCAGGCGCGUAAAUUGCCCGAAUCCUGACACAGGGAGGUAGUGACAAGAAAUAACAAUACAGGGCUUCUAAAGUCUUGUAAUUGGAAUGAGUACAAUUUACAUCUCUUCACGAGGAUCAAU
This 522-nucleotide ribosomal RNA is filed under the name uncultured marine eukaryote. RNAcentral's name for it is "SSU rRNA". It matches the Rfam family "Eukaryotic small subunit ribosomal RNA", at positions 22 to 548 of the family's 1831-position model. The record is from RNAcentral.